Long non-coding RNA from Eriocheir sinensis (Chinese mitten crab), 2986 nucleotides. RefSeq lists it as uncharacterized. The record is from RefSeq and is a predicted model, not a curated record. The transcript has 11 exons. Lineage: Eukaryota; Metazoa; Arthropoda; Malacostraca; Decapoda; Varunidae.
CGCACAGGCACCCCAGUGGGGGAAGGGGAUCUCUUUUAACCCUUUCCUUGCUAAGUGCUUGCAACAAGACUAUCUCCCUCAGGUGCGCUCGGGCACCCCAGUGGGGGAAGGGGAUCUCUUUUAACCCUUUCCUUGCUAAGUGCUCGUAAUGAGACUAUCCCCUCAGGUGCGCUCGGGCACCCCAGCGGGGGAAGGGGAUCUCUUUUAACCCUUUCCUUGCUAAGUGCUUGCAACAAGACUAUCUCCCUCAGGCGCGCUCGGGCACCCCAGCGGGGGAAGGGGAUCUCUUUUAACCCUUUCCUUGCUAAGUGCUUGCAACAAGACUAUCUCCCUCAGGUGCGCUCGGGCACCCCAGUGGGGGAAGGGGAUCUCUUUUAACCCUUUCCUUGCUAAGCGCUUGCAACAAGACUAUCCCCUCAGGUGCGCUCGGGCACCCCAGUGGGGGAAGGGGAUCUCUUUUAACCCUUUCCUUGCUAAGCGCUUGCAACAAGACUAUCUCCCUCAGGUGCGCUCGGGCACCCCAGCGGGGGAAGGGGAUCUCUUUUAACCCUUUCCUUGCUAAGCGCUUGCAACAAGACUAUCUCCCUCAGGUGCGCUCGGGCACCCCAGCGGGGGAAGGGGAUCUCUUUUAACCCUUUCCUUGCUAAGCGCUUGCAACAAGACUAUCCCCUCAGGUGCGCUCGGGCACCCCAGUGGGGGAAGGGGAUCUCUUUUAACCCUUUCCUUGCUAAGCGCUUGCAACAAGACUAUCUCCCUCAGGUGCGCUCGGGCACCCCAGCGGGGGAAGGGGAUCUCUUUUAACCCUUUCCUUGCUAAGUGCUCGUAAUGAGACUAUCUCCCUCAGGUGCGCUCGGGCACCCCAGUGGGGGAAGGGGAUCUCUUUUAACCCUUUCCUUGCUAAGUGCUCGUAAUGAGACUAUCUCCCUCAGGUGCGCUCGGGCACCCCAGUGGGGGAAGGGGAUCUCUUUUAACCCUUUCCUUGCUAAGCGCUUGCAACAAGACUAUCUCCCUCAGGUGCGCUCGGGCACCCCAGUGGGGGAAGGGGAUCUCUUUUAACCCUUUCCUUGCUAAGUGCUCGUAAUGAGACUAUCUCCCUCAGGUGCGCUCGGGCACCCCAGUGGGGGAAGGGGAUCUCUUUUAACCCUUUCCUUGCUAAGCGCUUGCAACAAGACUAUCUCCCUCAGGUGCGCUCGGGCACCCCAGUGGGGGAAGGGGAUCUCUUUUAACCCUUUCCUUGCUAAGUGCUUGCAACAAGACUAUCUCCCUCAGGUGCGCUCGGGCACCCCAGUGGGGGAAGGGGAUCUCUUUUAACCCUUUCCUUGCUAAGUGCUCGUAAUGAGACUAUCUCCCUCAGGUGCGCUCGGGCACCCCAGAGGGGGAAGGGGAUCUCUUUUAACCCUUUCCUUGCUAAGCGCUUGCAACAAGACUAUCUCCCUCAGGUGCGCUCGGGCACCCCAGCGGGGGAAGGGGAUCUCUUUUAACCCUUUCCUUGCUAAGCGCUUGCAACAAGACUAUCUCCCUCAGGUGCGCUCGGGCACCCCAGUGGGGGAAGGGGAUCUCUUUUAACCCUUUCCUUGCUAAGCGCUUGCAACAAGACUAUCUCCCUCAGGUGCGCUCGGGCACCCCAGUGGGGGAAGGGGAUCUCUUUUAACCCUUUCCUUGCUAAGCGCUUGCAACAAGACUAUCUCCCUCAGGUGCGCUCGGGCACCCCAGUGGGGGAAGGGGAUCUACACCCUGUUAUUAAGUGAAAAUUUCUUAAGUUUCCAAUUUUUCUCUGUAAAUGUGUGUAUACUUACCACUUCCAAUAGAAUGUAUUUCCUUAAGAUUUCAGUUCAUUAUCAUUUAUAUUUCCUGUGUAGUGAAUAUUUUCGUGAUGCAAAGUGAUAAACAUUAAAAAAAACAUCAUAAAAAAACAAAACUCUCAUAUCAAUUAGCUAAGCAUGGAAUGAAAGAUCAGUGUCUGGCAGACAGUUCUGACACAAAAUAUUUCAUUUAAAUGCCAUAGUUCUUUUUUUGUUAUUUUUUUUAUUUUUAACCAUGAAAAAAGUUGAUAAAAUUAGGUUUGGAAAAUUAUACAGAUGAAACAGUUUCAUAUUCAUUUAUUUUGCUGUGUGAGAAUGAAAGACAUUACAUUCCUCUUUAAAAUGCAAAAGAAAUGGUGAAAAUAGGUGCUUAAAUAAUGAAGUUAUGUCCGGCAAAACAGAAAAAAGAUGAACUUUUCAGGAGAGGGUAUUUAAAGUUUAAAACCCUCCCGCAGCAUAGUCACUCCUGUCAUCAGUCUCUGUCUGCAUUUUCUUUUUCUUUGUCCACAAUGUCUCUCGUAUGUUAUCAUUUCUUUCAAGGUAUGACUUAUGUAAACUGGUAAAUGGCUCCCCUAAGUCCUUCCCUCCUCUGUUUCCCUUCUCCUAUAAUUCCUUCCCCUUCUGUCUCUCUCCGGCAUAUGACCACAGAUGUUGCGCCGACUAAACCAAACUUUCCAACUGUUCCCUUCUCCUAUAAUUCCUUCCUUCUUCUGUUUCCCUUCUCCUAUAAUUCCUUCCCCCUUCUGUCUCUCUCCGGCAUAUACCCACAGAUGUUGCGCUGACUAAACCAAACUUUCCAACUGUUCCCUUCUCCUAUAAUUCCUUCCCCUUCUGUCUCUCUCCGGCAUAUGACCACAGAUGUUGCGCCGACUAAACCAAACUUUCCAACUGUUCCCUUCUCCUAUAAUUCCUUCCCCUUCUGUCUCUCUCCGGCAUAUGACCACAGAUGUUGCGCCGACUAAACCAAACUUUCCAACUGUUCCCUUCUCCUAUAAUUCCUUCCCUCUUCUGUUUCUCUUCUCCUAUAAUUCCUUCCCCUUCUGUCUCUCUCCGGCAUAUGACCACAGAUGUUGCGCCCACUAAACCAAACUUUCCAACUGUUCCCUUCUAUAAUUCCUUCCCCUUCUGUCUCUCUCCGGCAUAUGACCACAGAUGUUGCUCCGACUAAACCAAACUGUCCAACU